This 481-nucleotide ribosomal RNA is filed under the name uncultured bacterium. RNAcentral describes it as "partial 16S ribosomal RNA". It matches the Rfam family "Bacterial small subunit ribosomal RNA", at positions 28 to 507 of the family's 1533-position model. The record is from RNAcentral.
GAUGAACGCUGGCGGCGUGCUUAACACAUGCAAGUCGAACGAAACACCUUAUUUGAUUUUCUUCGGAACUGAAGAUUUGGUGAUUGAGUGGCGGACGGGUGAGUAACGCGUGGGUAACCUGCCCUGUACAGGGGGAUAACAGUCAGAAAUGACUGCUAAUACCGCAUAAGACCACAGCACCGCAUGGUGCAGGGGUAAAAACUCCGGUGGUACAGGAUGGACCCGCGUCUGAUUAGCUGGUUGGUGAGGUAACGGCACACCAAGGCGACGAUCAGUAGCCGGCGAGAGAGAGUGAACGGCCACAGUGGGACUGAGACACGGCCCAAACUCCUACGGGAAGGAGCAGUGGGGAAUAUUGCACAAUGGGGGAAACCCUGAUGCAGCGACGCCGCGUGAGUGAAGAAGUAUUUCGGUAUGUAAAGCUCUAUCAGCAGGGAAGACAAUGACGGUACCUGACGAAGAAGCCCCGGCUAACUACGUG